GGUAGCUCAAUGGUAGAGCCGUCGGCUGUUAACCGAAAGGUUGCAGGUUCGAGUCCUGCCC
This 61-nucleotide transfer RNA is filed under the name marine eukaryotic metagenome. It matches the Rfam family "tRNA", at positions 6 to 65 of the family's 71-position model. Rfam says of the family: Transfer RNA (tRNA) molecules are approximately 80 nucleotides in length. Their secondary structure includes four short double-helical elements and three loops (D, anti-codon, and T loops). The record is from RNAcentral.